GCUGUAGCCAAGUGGUAAGGCACCAGACUUUGACUCUGGCAUCUCGGCGGUUCGAAUCCUCCCAG
RNAcentral lists this transfer RNA (65 nucleotides) under human gut metagenome. It matches the Rfam family "tRNA", at positions 5 to 66 of the family's 71-position model. Rfam says of the family: Transfer RNA (tRNA) molecules are approximately 80 nucleotides in length. Their secondary structure includes four short double-helical elements and three loops (D, anti-codon, and T loops). The record is from RNAcentral.